ACGGAAGGCAGCAGUGGGGAAUUUUGCGCAAUGGGGGAAACCCUGACGUAGCAACGCCGCGUGCGGGACGGAGGCCUUCGGGCUGUAAACCGCUUUCAGCAGGGAAGACAACGACGGUACCUGCAGAAGAAGCUCCGGCUAACUGCGUGCCAGCAGCCGCGGUAAUACGUAGGGGGCGAGCGUUAUCCGGAUUCAUUGGGCGUAAAGCGCGCGUAGGCGGCUGCCUAAGCGGAGUUUCUAACCUUGGGGCUCAACCUCAAGCCGGACUCCGAACUGGGCGGCUCGAGUGCGGUAGGGGCAGGCGGAAUUCCACGUGUAGCGGUGAAAUGCGCAGAUAUGUGGAGGAACACCGAUGGCGAAGGCAGCCUGCUGGGCCGACACUGACGCUGAGGCGCGAAAGCCGGGGGAGCGAACAGGAUUAGAUACCCUGGUA
Molecule: ribosomal RNA, 433 nt
Filed under: uncultured Adlercreutzia sp.
Lineage: Bacteria; Bacillati; Actinomycetota; Coriobacteriia; Eggerthellales; Eggerthellaceae
Description: partial 16S ribosomal RNA
Rfam family: Bacterial small subunit ribosomal RNA
Source: RNAcentral